Long non-coding RNA from Bos taurus (domestic cattle), 760 nucleotides. The record is from Ensembl. NCBI's taxonomy places the organism in Eukaryota, Metazoa, Chordata, Mammalia, Artiodactyla, Bovidae.
GGUGUUUAGUUUGUUUCUUCAGUUAUUUCUUCUAUGAUAUUCUGGAUGCAUGGUUUCUCAUGAAUGAGGAAAAUGCCUUUUUCCCAUUCCCAGUUUUCAAAUGGAAGGAUUUUCUUUAAGAGCUGUCCUAGCCUCUUGAAAAGACCCUGAUGCCGGAAAAGAUUGAGGGCAGGCAGGGAAGGAGGCAACAGAGGAUGAGAUGGUUGGAUGGCAUCACUGACUCAAUGGGCAUGAAUUUGAGCAAGCUCAGGGAGAUACUGAAGGAGAGGGAAGCCUGGUGUGUUGCAGUUUCGAUGGGGUCACAAGAAGUUGGACAUGACUGAGUGAUUGAACUGAACUGAGCCUCUCGAAAUAUUUAUUGCCCCCUCCUUGGAAUGAUGUAGAGUUUUGCCUCAAUGUAAACUUGGAAGUAAAUGCUGGGUUUGCUUGACCUUCCUCUGCUCUCCCUUCUCUUAGACAUGCACUUGCCCACAGAGAAUAUUCCUCCCCUGCUACUCCUCCUUUCUAGGGGGAGCCAGCCCCUGCCUCAGUGGGUAUCCACCUAAGUUUGGAGAGGAGUUGGUGAAUUGGCUCAUCUAAUACUAAUCCUGAAUUUGGCCUGGAAAAUCACAUGGACAGAGGAGCCUGGUGGGCUACAGCUCAUGAGCUUGCAAAUGAGCUGGACACGACUUAGUGACUGAACAACAACAACAACCCCUUCCACCACCAACUCUGUUUUUAAAGCUGUCCACUGCUGGUGAAUUGGAAAACAGUCUUAACC